RNAcentral lists this transfer RNA (73 nucleotides) under Camelus bactrianus (Bactrian camel). It matches the Rfam family "tRNA". From Rfam's summary of the family: Transfer RNA (tRNA) molecules are approximately 80 nucleotides in length. Their secondary structure includes four short double-helical elements and three loops (D, anti-codon, and T loops). Lineage: Eukaryota; Metazoa; Chordata; Mammalia; Artiodactyla; Camelidae. The record is from Rfam by way of RNAcentral. RNAcentral also lists the same sequence under 2 other names.
GAGGGUAUAGCUCAAGCAGUAGAACGCAUGUUUAGCAUGCACAAGAUCCUGGGUUCAAUCCCCAGUACCUCCA